GCCGAUGUAGCUCAGUUGGUUAGAGCAGCUGAUUUGUAAUCAGCAGGUCGGAGGUUCGAAUCCAUCCAUCGGCU
This 74-nucleotide transfer RNA is filed under the name Bacteroidetes bacterium RIFCSPLOWO2_02_FULL_36_8. RNAcentral describes it as "tRNA-Thr". It matches the Rfam family "tRNA". Rfam says of the family: Transfer RNA (tRNA) molecules are approximately 80 nucleotides in length. Their secondary structure includes four short double-helical elements and three loops (D, anti-codon, and T loops). Lineage: Bacteria; Pseudomonadati; Bacteroidota. The record is from RNAcentral. RNAcentral also lists the same sequence under 1 other name.